UGUCCUCGCCUGGGCUCGAACCAGGGACCUUCUGCGUGUUAAGCAGAUGUGAUAACCACUACACAACGAGGAC
Molecule: transfer RNA, 73 nt
Filed under: Trichinella nativa
Lineage: Eukaryota; Metazoa; Nematoda; Enoplea; Trichinellida; Trichinellidae
Description: tRNA-Val
Source: RNAcentral